Molecule: non-coding RNA, 93 nt
Filed under: Vaucheria litorea
Lineage: Eukaryota; Xanthophyceae; Vaucheriales; Vaucheriaceae
Source: RNAcentral
AUGCACGUCCCAGGCCAUCCGAAGGACAAAAAGUACGAGUUCGGCAUGCUGACUUUGUUCGCUUACAAGGUCAAAGACAGCGAAAACGAUGAA